GACGAACGCUGGCGGCGUGCCUAAUACAUGCAAGUAGAACGCUGAAGACUUUAGCUUGCUAAAGUUGGAAGAGUUGCGAACGGGUGAGUAACGCGUAGGUAACCUGCCUACUAGCGGGGGAUAACUAUUGGAAACGAUAGCUAAUACCGCAUAACAACAUUUAACCCAUGUUAGAUGCUUGAAAGGAGCAAUUGCUUCACUAGUAGAUGGACCUGCGUUGUAUUAGCUAGUUGGUGAGGUAACGGCUCACCAAGGCGACGAUACAUAGCCGACCUGAGAGGGUGAUCGGCCACAUUGGAACUGAGAAACGGUCCAG
RNAcentral lists this ribosomal RNA (316 nucleotides) under uncultured bacterium. RNAcentral describes it as "bacterial SSU rRNA". It matches the Rfam family "Bacterial small subunit ribosomal RNA", at positions 28 to 334 of the family's 1533-position model. The record is from RNAcentral.